RNAcentral lists this ribosomal RNA (495 nucleotides) under uncultured bacterium. RNAcentral describes it as "partial 16S ribosomal RNA". It matches the Rfam family "Bacterial small subunit ribosomal RNA", at positions 28 to 507 of the family's 1533-position model. The record is from RNAcentral.
GACGAACGCUGGCGGCGUGCCUAAUACAUGCAAGUAGAACGCUGAAGGAGGAGCUUGCUUCUCUGGAUGAGUUGCGAACGGGUGAGUAACGCGUAGGUAACCUGCAUGGUAGCGGGGGAUAACUAUUGGAAACGAUAGCUAAUACCGCAUAACAGUAGAUAUCGCAUGAUAUCUACUUGAAAGGUGCAAUUGCAUCACUACCAGAUGGACCUGCGUUGUAUUAGCUAGUUGGUGAGGUAACGGCUCACCAAGGCGACGAUACAUAGCCGACCUGAGAGGGUGAUCGGCCACACUGGGACUGAGACACGGCCCAGACUCCUACGGGAGGCAGCAGUAGGGAAUCUUCGGCAAUGGACGGAAGUCUGACCGAGCAACGCCGCGUGAGUGAAGAAGGUUGUCGGAUCGUAAAGCUCUGUUGUAAGAGAAGAACGAGUGUGAGAGUGGAAAGUUCACACUGUGACGGUAUCUUACCAGAAAGGGACGGCUAACUACGUG